GAUGAACGCUGGCGGCGUGCUUAACACAUGCAAGUCGAGCGAACAGACGAGGAGCUUGCUCCUGUGACGUUAGCGGCGGACGGGUGAGUAAUACGUGGAUAACCUAUCUAUAAGACUGGGACAACUUCGGGAAUGCGGAGCUAAUACCGGAUAAUAUAUUGAACCGCAGGGAUCACUAGUGAAAGACGGUUUUGCUGUCACUUAUAGAUGGAUCCGUGUCGGAUUAGCUAGGUGGUAGGGUAACGGCUUACCAAGGCAACGAUGCGUAGCCGACCUGAGAGGGUGAUCGGCCACACUGGAACUGAGACACGGCCCAGACUCCUACGGGAGGCAGCAGUAGGGAAUUUUCGGCAAUGGGCGAAAGCCUGACGCAGCAACGCCGCGUGAGUGAUGAAGGCCUUCGGGUCGUAAAACUCUGUUAGUAGGGAAGAACAAAUGUGUAAGUAACUAUGCACGUCUUGACGGUACCUAAUCAGAAAGCAACGGCUAACUACGUG
This 497-nucleotide ribosomal RNA is filed under the name uncultured bacterium. RNAcentral's name for it is "partial 16S ribosomal RNA". It matches the Rfam family "Bacterial small subunit ribosomal RNA", at positions 28 to 507 of the family's 1533-position model. The record is from RNAcentral.